AGAGUUUGAUCCUGGCUCAGGAUGAACGCUAGCGGCAGGCUUAACACAUGCAAGUCGAGGGGCAGCAUAAUGGAUAGCAAUAUCUAUGGUGGCGACCGGCGCACGGGUGCGUAACGCGUAUGCAACCUACCUUUAACAGGGGGAUAACACUGAGAAAUUGGUACUAAUACCCCAUAAUAUCAUAGAAGGCAUCUUUUAUGGUUGAAAAUUCCGAUGGUUAGAGAUGGGCAUGCGUUGUAUUAGCUAGUUGGUGGGGUAACGGCUCACCAAGGCGACGAUACAUAGGGGGACUGAGAGGUUAACCCCCCACAUUGGUACUGAGACACGGACCAAACUCCUACGGGAGGCAGCAGUGAGGAAUAUUGGUCAAUGGACGCAAGUCUGAACCAGCCAUGCCGCGUGCAGGAUGACGGCUCUAUGAGUUGUAAACUGCUUUUGUACGAGGGUAAACGCAGAUACGUGUAUCUGUCUGAAAGUAUCGUACGAAUAAGGAUCGGCUAACUCCGUGCCAGCAGCCGCGGUAAUACGGAGGAUCCAAGCGUUAUCCGGAUUUAUUGGGUUUAAAGGGUGCGUAGGCGGUUUGAUAAGUUAGAGGUGAAAUUUCGGGGCUCAACCCUGAACGUGCCUCUAAUACUGUUGAGCUAGAGAGUAGUUGCGGUAGGCGGAAUGUAUGGUGUAGCGGUGAAAUGCUUAGAGAUCAUACAGAACACCGAUUGCGAAGGCAGCUUACCAAACUAUAUCUGACGUUGAGGCACGAAAGCGUGGGGAGCAAACAGGAUUAGAUACCCUGGUAGUCCACGCAGUAAACGAUGAUAACUCGUUGUCGGCGAUACACAGUCGGUGACUAAGCGAAAGCGAUAAGUUAUCCACCUGGGGAGUACGUUCGCAAGAAUGAAACUCAAAGGAAUUGACGGGGGCCCGCACAAGCGGAGGAACAUGUG
This 941-nucleotide ribosomal RNA is filed under the name Firmicutes bacterium CAG:341. RNAcentral's name for it is "bacterial SSU rRNA". It matches the Rfam family "Bacterial small subunit ribosomal RNA", at positions 8 to 943 of the family's 1533-position model. The record is from RNAcentral. Lineage: Bacteria; Bacillati; Bacillota.